UAUUAUUCAUAAUGAUAUAUUAUUAUCUGGGUAGUAAUAGUUAAGUUCUUGAAACCCAAAGAAUUUGGCGGUAUUUUAGUCUUUUCAGGGGAAUCUGUUCCGUAAUUGAUGAUACACGAUUUGUUAUACUUGAUUUUGUUAUCAGUUUGUAUAUCGCCGUCGUAAGAUUAUUUUUUUUUUGAGAAUUAUUAAUUUUCUUUGAAUUUUAUUAAAUUUUAUGUCAGGUCAAGGUGCAGCUUAUAGUUGAGUGGAAAUGGAUUACAAUAAUAUGAAUUAUAUGAAUAAUUAUUUAAAGUUAAUUUGAAGGUGGAUUUGAUUGUAAAUUUAUCUUAAUUCUUAUUUUGAUUUUGGCUCUAAAAUGUGUACAUAUCGCCCGUCGCUCUCGUUUUUUAAAGUGAG
RNAcentral lists this ribosomal RNA (399 nucleotides) under Eneoptera guyanensis. RNAcentral's name for it is "partial 12S ribosomal RNA". Lineage: Eukaryota; Metazoa; Arthropoda; Insecta; Orthoptera; Gryllidae. The record is from RNAcentral.